UGGGGAAUAUUGGACAAUGGGCGCAAGCCUGAUCCAGCCAUACCGCGUGGGUGAAGAAGGCCUUCGGGUUGUAAAGCCCUUUUGUUGGGAAAGAAAUCCAGCUGGGCUAAUACCCGGUUGGGAUGACGGUACCCAAAGAAUAAGCACCGGCUAACUUCGUGCCAGCAGCCGCGGUAAUACGAAGGGUGCAAGCGUUACUCGGAAUUACUGGGCGUAAAGCGUGCGUAGGUGGUUAUUUAAGUCCGUUGUGAAAGCCCUGGGCUCAACCUGGGAACUGCAGUGGAUACUGGAUGACUAGAAUGUGGUAGAGGGUAGCGGAAUUCCUGGUGUAGCAGUGAAAUGCGUAGAGAUCAGGAGGAACAUCCAUGGCGAAGGCAGCUACCUGGACCAACAUUGACACUGAGGCACGAAAGCGUGGGGAGCAAACAGGAUUAGAUACCCUGGUAGUCCACGCCCUAAACGAUGCGAACUGGAUGUUGGGUGCAAUUUGGCACGCAGUAUCGAAGCUAACGCGUUAAGUUCNNCGCCUGGGGAGUACGGUCGCAAGACUG
RNAcentral lists this ribosomal RNA (551 nucleotides) under uncultured bacterium. RNAcentral describes it as "bacterial SSU rRNA". It matches the Rfam family "Bacterial small subunit ribosomal RNA", at positions 355 to 896 of the family's 1533-position model. The record is from RNAcentral.